Long non-coding RNA from Gorilla gorilla gorilla (western lowland gorilla), 445 nucleotides. RefSeq lists it as uncharacterized. The transcript is spliced from 3 exons. The record is from RefSeq and is a predicted model, not a curated record. NCBI's taxonomy places the organism in Eukaryota, Metazoa, Chordata, Mammalia, Primates, Hominidae.
GGAAGGAGGGGAGCGCGUUCAUUCAUUCUUCCAUCAACAGGUUUUCUUGGUCAUGGCCAAGAUUUGAGAACAGUAAGUGUUUUGGAGCCUCCUGCACUAUAAAAGCAGGUAGAAGAUUGAAUUCUGACUGCUGCACGACCACAGUUCUGUAUUCAUAGCUCACCCCUCACUCCCACCACAUUCCUGGUGAGUAAACAAAUUGUGGUAUAUCCUGACAAAGGAAUAUUUGGCAACGAAAAGAAAUGAACUACUGGUACAUGCAGCAAAUAAAUAAAUCUCACAAUAAUGUUGAAUGAAAGAAGCCAGACAUACAAAGAAUAUAUGAUUUUAUUUACAUAAAUUUCAAGAAAAUGCAAACUGAUCUAUAGUGACAUAAGGUAGAUCAGUAGUUGCAUGGAACAUGGAACUGAGGAGAGGGCAGAAAGAGGUGGGUGAGGGGCACUAU